Phrynosoma platyrhinos (Desert horned lizard) is the source of this 72-nucleotide non-coding RNA. NCBI's taxonomy places the organism in Eukaryota, Metazoa, Chordata, Lepidosauria, Squamata, Phrynosomatidae. The record is from the annotation of a GenBank genome assembly.
GCCAAUGUAGUGUAGUGGUCUGAAUGUUGGACUAUGAAUCUGGAGACCAGGAUUCGAAACCCUACUCAGCCA